AUCCUUGGAGAGGAAAAAAUAAUUCUCGCUGAAGUGUCAUCCGUCCGCAGCACGAGAUGGCUUAUUUAUAUCCAUCUUCGUGGCUUCUUAGUAAAAUGAAGGAAAAAUGCUUUUUAACUUCAAAACGCUAAGGCGAAUUAUUUGAUCUUCAAUAUAACCCAUGCACGAGGAUGGCUGAAAAUCAUUUUAAGGUUCUAGCCAAUUAGGCAUUAAUUUGCACUAAAACAAAGCCAACCAUGCCGAAAUUUAUGUAAACAGUAAGUUUGUAAGCAUUAAAUGAAAGGACUUUAAAAACUUGAGCUUGAGAUCAGGGAAUUUCCUGUUGUGGGAAAAGCUUCUGUGUAUCUUUCUAAUUUUUAUUAAAUCCCUCAUCAGCAAUACAGUCAUAGUCACUAAUGACUCUUACACAGGGGAUCAUUUUUAGCUAUCCACGUUCUGUGACAUGGUGGUAAAAAUGUCAGUGACUGCGUACCGAGAGCUCCUGUUAUUGGAGUCGUGUUAUAUUCUAGAAAAAUCCUCUGCAGAAAAUACAGCGCUGUCGUUUUACCAGCUGGUGAUACAGACACCAAUUUCUGCUUGGAAAUCUGGUCAGUGGUUGGCGAUGUAAGCGCAGUAACUGGGCUGAAGAUUGAGAUUUAAACCAAUGCAUACCUUUCUGGUAAUGUCAGGCUGCCGUUUAAAGAGCUGUUCUGUGCAAAGAGGGCAUAACAGUUCCGUGCUUACCUUUCAAUUUUAAAUUCAUUGCAGAAAAUGUGUUUGUAAAGCUGAUAGAAUGCUUCAUAUUAGAUUUGAAAUAGAUGUAGUCGGAGUUAUAAAACUGAAAUAAGGUUUCAAAUGUCUUACUGCUGUACUCCUUGUUUUGUUUCAGAAUUAAUCAGAUACAAGUUAGAGAAAGCUUCCAGAAUCUGAACAGAUGAAGAUCAAUUGAUAAAUCGACCCAGUGAUUCGCCACAAUUUCAAGGUGUUUAAUAUAUGUUUCAGUGGAAAAUAAAGUGACUUUACAAUUGACCUAAAGGGACUUCAAGCUUGAAACAGUGAAGCUGGAAAAGGAUUGUAAGCUGUACCUCAGUCACUUAGAUCAAGUGAUUUGGACAAGGAAGGUUUGGCAUAUAUACCAUGUAACAAUUUAAAUGUAUUUAUUACAGUUUAGAAGAUGUUAACUUCUUUUUUCUAAGUAAUUAAUUUUAUCUAUUUCUGAAUUUCUGUCGUAUUUUAAUGCAUUGGAAGGCUCUUAUGCUCUGGUAUAUACCAUAGCCUACCAAAAAGUAGAAUUGUAAACUGAGGCAAGAAUUAUACAGUUACUGAACACAGUUGAGGUUCUUCUCCAUAACUGGCAUUUGUGGCAGAAUAUUAGGAAAAAAAGAGAGAAUUAUGAUAAUAAGUUGAAAUUUGGCUGAUUUUGCAGAUUAUAGGAACUUCUAAUUGAUUGAGCAGUAUCUGUUUCUUUCUCUGUUUCCCCUGCAUGUUAAUAUUUGCUCUGUAUCAUCACAUGCAUUUCAUCAUCUUGUGUAUUUUUUCUUGAUAUAAAGAAAGAAAAGAUUUUGCUCAGAGUUUGCAUUUUCCUUAUACAUAAACUUGGAAAAUCCAGUCUGCUUCAGACAAACUAGUAUUUGCUGUGCAAAUCAUCUUUUAAUAUCUUUUAAAGUAGAUUGUAGCAGAAGGGGCCAUUACAGUGAACACAGAGCUGGUCUGCAGAAUUUAUUUAAGUGGCAGAAUUAAUCUGGGCUCAAGAAGAGUGCAGAAUGUUUGUCACAGUGUUGCUCUUAAACUGCUGUCUUCUCUUGAACAGCUCAGCAAAAUUCCUUUUUAACCCUCAAUUCUGCAUUUGAAAAUUUAUAUUUUGAAAGUUUAUGUGAAAGAAAGUGCUGUUUCAGGAAGAUAAAUAGUGUAAAACUUACCUAUGGGCUCCUUUUGCAAGACUGUACAGUUUCAGGCCCAUGGAUUUGGGCAGGUCUGUGGCUCAAUAGUUAUGGCUUCUGCCUCAGCAGAGAACUUGAGGUUUGCUCUGCCAGUUGACAAAACUUAGGGACACCAGUUAUCAUACUUAAUAAAAAUUCUGUGUGUUAUACAGUGGAGGCCAAAUGGGUUUGGUGUAAUAUUGAUCUUCAAAGUUAAUGUAGUCAGGUAUUUUUUUGGAAAGUAUGGAUUAAUUAUAAUAGGAUAUGGUAAUAUUCCAGGAAUCUGGAUUAUUGUACAUAAACCUAACGACAGGACCAACGGAAAAUGAGCUCAAAUUCCUUUUAUUUAUGUCAUCAAGCAUUGUAAGAGUAUGAAAAUGUAGCUAACUAAAGAAUUUGGUUAAAUUUAGCAUGGAGACAUGGGAUGUAUAUCCUAGGUGCUUAUUUACAUUAGAGUAGAAUUUCUUUUUCUUCUUCAGUAUGCUUUUCAACUUUCUAAUCACAUUGGUGGUCCUCUGAUGGACCUCAUCCAGUUUUUUAACAUCUUUCUUGAACUGGCCCAGGCUUUCAGCUUCCAAUCUCUGGAUAGUGACACUUUCUUCCAGCAUAUCUACUUGUUAUCCAAGAUUCACAUAGUGCGCACCUCACAAGGUGAGGAUGCAUUCAGUCCCAUCAUCCAGGUGGUCUAUUGAUCAGGAUUGGACCCACUAUUGAUCCCCAAAGACCUCCAUUUCUGACUGGCUGCUACUUUGACUGUGAGCACAGCAGUUUAGCCAGUUUGCCACCAAAUCUGAGACCCGUGCCCAUGGCCUUUUGAGCUAACGCUUAGCACCCAUGGGUAUGUUUUAUAUACGUGUCCAUGUCCAGCUGGUAUGAUUUUUUUGUUGUUAAAAUUUUGCACACGUUGUCGGUGUGGGUAGCAUCAGUGAGCAGAAAUGAAAUUUCUGAAGAAUGGUGUAAAUUCAAAUUUUCAUCAGUGUGAGUGCUCGGGGUCCUUGAUGUGAUGGUGGUCAGCGUGUCAGACUUCUAACGGUAUGAGGAUUCAGGCACUCACAUCAGAGACAGACAACUCCAUUGUGGUCUCAGGGAGCUCUCAAGUUGUGUGGGCUGUGCAUGGACCCAAAGUCUCCUGCCUCAGUGGAUUACCACAGAGCUAUGGACAAGCUGGUAAGAAACCAAUCAGGGUUUUGAAACCUUGCCUAGUAGGUAGGUUCUGUCUGAUGAUUGUCGAUAUCAAAGUAUUCCCCUUAAGUGCUUUGAUUUCAACAAAUGGAAAUUCAGCCUAAAUAUUCUGUUACAAUUAAUCUGAGUAGCUGUGUAUUAUAAUCACUUUAAGUUUGUAAUAUCACGUCAGCUGUGUAUAAGGUCAUACCUAUUUCUUAUUCCUUAGAUUAACAUUAUUCAUCUGUAUAGCCAGAUUGCCAAGAUUGUUUUAACAUUUCCAAAUUCAAAAGAUGAAUUCAAUACCACAUCUAAAAUAAAUAAAGAUUAGUUUGAUUUCCAAAUCAUUAACUGGAAGUAUAAUAUGUAGUUUUACCUACUCACAUCUAAAAUUUGCAAAUGUUGUGUUCCUAGUCUGUAUUUCUCUCUGCAGGAACUGAGAGUAUUUUAUAAGACAGAUGCUGUGUAUUUUAUAACAGUGGCAGUGGCAUGCAUUUAUCAUCUGGGUAUUAAAAUGUUACAUUAUUUUAAUACAACAGUGUAGUCAUUGUGAAGUUUAAAUAAACAUGUGAGGGCAUCCGCUGUGUUCUCAUCCUAAUGCAGGAUUCUCAGAUUUGCUUACAGUUAUUAAGCUCCAUUCCCUGAGCGAUUCUUCUCAGAAGAGGAUACUUCCAGUUAGUUUUCUAAUCUUAACAAUAUAAUUUUUUCUUUCCUGGUACAGGUGGUUUGUAGUAGACAUCCACAGUAAUUUCACUUUCCACUAUUCAAAAUAGCUCUAUUCCAGAGCUUCUGAGCAUCUUCUGCUCUCUUUGAAGUGUUACUCAUAAAUAAAAUUAUACUAUUUCCAGGAUCUGUGAGAAAAGGAUAAUAGCUUGUCAUGGUUUGAGGUUUCACUUUUUAUUGUGUGCUGCUCGUGGUUGUUAUUCUGAGGGAUCACAGUCCUGUGUAUGAAGGGAGAAGUCGCUUGUUUUCACUGGAGGUGAGAGUGAACUACAGAUUACCAUGUUAGUUGUGUUAACGUUUUCCCGUGGUGGAGCUUAAAUGAAAUGAUCUGUUUUGUUAUUCUGGAUAGUUCUCUCAUCACCUGGACAUGCUGAUUUAUAUGAACUUUUUAUCUCUUGCCUUUCUACUUGCCCAAUUAUAUUCUUCUACUUCUCAUAGUACAGACAUACUUUAAAAUGCACAAAAUCUGCUCUCAGUUCUGCUGCUGUCAGCAGGAGCUGACCCGAGGGUCGGGAUUUCACUUCUGUGUGUCACCUCCUCCAGUUGUCAUUUCAGCCUGAAUCUCAGCUACAAACAGGUCUUUGUAAUAAUAUUUUUCUUUUUUCUUGAUUGCUUCAAAUCCUUUAGUUACAAUUAACUUACUUGAUUUCCUUCUGUGCACUGAUGCCCCUCGCUUCUUUUCCUCAAGAGGCUAUUUGGUUUUCUUCUGAGUGCUUUCUUCUGAUGCUCUCAUAGGUUCUGUCUUUCUCUCCCUUCAACAUUUUAAUUCAUGCAUCCUUUCACAUUUGUUGUGGAAAAUCACCAGUGAGUAACAUUGUACUUCUGCUCAUAAGAGUUUAGCUGCAGAUUCACCCUUUCUUUUCCAUUCCAAAUAAGAAUGAUCACAUCUCAGGUCUUGUACAGAGGUUGUCUCAUAGAUUCUAACUGAACACCUGAGUGAGGUGUUCCCUGUUUGAACAGCUUUCCAGGACCACCUGGCAAAAGAAUGAAACCUGUCAGUGCAUGUGGGGAAAUGCCUGCAGUGUCAUGACACAACGUAGCCUUCCUCUGCAGUUUUCAGCAGUUGUUUGCUGUUGGUAAGCAUACGUUUAGUUGUAGCUUUACCAACUAUGCUUAAUAUGUUGUUGAAUCUGUUCAGUGAGCGUUGAAUCUGCAUUAUCCCCUUUCUGUGUGUUUUGAUUUCUCUUCCUGACUCCAUUCUUUCCUUCCUCUUACAGGUUGUGUUGUAUUUUUGUUUGUUUGUUUAUCUUCGCCCCACUACUUGGCUGUCUUCUUUGCAUGAGCUGCUGCUUUCUGCUCUCUCCUGCCUCACGCUUCCUUUUUCACUUAAUCUAUUUGAGCUGAACUUAUUCCUCCAUGUUUUGUUUUUUCUCACUUAGUUCUUCACUAUGUGUGUUGUUCAGUCACAGUCCCAUUCCCAACAUCACUUCUUGGGCUGUUUUGCCCCCUCAGUUAAGCCCUUUGAAUUGACAGUGUUUCUGGACAACUUUCUGCUCUCCUAAAGGAGCAUGGGCCUCUUGGCAGCUCUUCCCACUGGAGUGUUCUACCUGAUCUUGACCAGAUUCAUCGCUCUUAAUUCUGGACACCUCAUAGAAGCACCUAACUUAGGUGCAUGGUCAUCCGUGACUUUGUGGUUAGUGAGAAGAAAACGGCUUCUUCAGAAGCUUUUUAGACCAGGAGGGACCAAACUGAUCUCACAAGCUUCCUUGGCUCUCCUGAUUGCCCAGGGAGCUGUGAAUGACUGUACUUCCAACCAGGGUGUGUCAGAUUCCUAAUAGCCAUCUCUGUUCAAAGUAUACAGCUUAUAUACAUGUUUUCAGUUCUGACCUUCUAGCGGGGUGGAUUUUCAGGUCUUUGCCUCUUUUCCUCUAAAAUCAUCAGCACAACCAUGUAUAGUGCUUUGGAAAUGGUUUAAGAGAAUUGAACUUGUGUGCUUAAAAAUAAAAACAGAAACAACCUGAUCACAUCUUCAGCAUAGUGAGUUUGUGGGAGAGAAUAUUCCUCCUCUCUGACUAAUCAGUCCUGUGCACUGAACUGAUCAACCCAUCUUUCUGCUGCCACUUUCCUCCCUCUGCUGGAACACUGAUGUAUUCAUGGCAUAGUGGGAAAAAUUGUUACUGGAGGAAGGAAGCUUACUAAGGGACGGACAGCCUGAGGCCAGACCACAGAAUUAGAUCUGGAGUGGAAAUGUAUAGGAAGCAAGCUAUGGAAGAGAGAGGGGAAAAAUCACAACAACAGGCUUGAAAGAGCAAAAAAAAAAAAA
Molecule: non-coding RNA, 6045 nt
Organism: Meleagris gallopavo (turkey)
Lineage: Eukaryota; Metazoa; Chordata; Aves; Galliformes; Phasianidae
Source: RefSeq, a predicted model, not a curated record